This 355-nucleotide ribosomal RNA is filed under the name Heterosigma akashiwo. RNAcentral's name for it is "partial Bacterial small subunit ribosomal RNA". It matches the Rfam family "Bacterial small subunit ribosomal RNA", at positions 327 to 674 of the family's 1533-position model. The record is from RNAcentral. Lineage: Eukaryota; Raphidophyceae; Chattonellales; Chattonellaceae.
CGGCCCAGACUCCUACGGGAGGCAGCAGUGGGGAAUAUUGCACAAUGGAGGAAACUCUGAUGCAGCCAUGCCGCGUGUGUGAAGAAGGCCUUAGGGUUGUAAAGCACUUUCAAUGGGGAGGAAAGGUUGUAAAUUAAUACUUUAUAACUGUGACGUUACCCAUACAAGAAGCACCGGCUAACUCCGUGCCAGCAGCCGCGGUAAUACGGAGGGAGCUAGCGUUGUUCGGAAUUACUGGGCGUAAAGCGCGCGUAGGCGGUUAUUCAAGUCAGAGGUGAAAGCCCGGAGCUCAACUCCGGAACUGCCUUUGAAACUAGAUAGCUAGAAUCUUGGAGAGGCGAGUGGAAUUCCGAGU